UGGGGAAUUUUGCACAAUGGGCGCAAGCCUGAUGCAGCGACGCCGCGUGAGGGAUGAAGGCCUUCGGGUUGUAAACCUUUUUCGCUCAUGGUCAAGCCGCAGCUUUGGGUUGUGGUGAGGGUAGUGGGUAAAGAAGCGCCGGCUAACUACGUGCCAGCAGCCGCGGUAAUACGUAGGGCGCGAGCGUUGUCCGGAAUUAUUGGGCGUAAAGGGCUUGUAGGCGGUUGGCCGCGUCUGCCGUGAAAUCCUCUGGCUUAACUGGGGGCGGGCGGUGGGUACGGGUUGACUUGAGUGCGGUAGGGGAGACUGGAAUUCCUGGGGUAGCGAUGGAAUGCGCAGAUAUCAGGAGGAACACCGGUGGGGAAGGCGGGUCUCUGGGCCGUUACUGACGCUGAGGAGCGAAAGCGUGGGGAGCGAACAGG
This 422-nucleotide ribosomal RNA is filed under the name Verrucomicrobiota bacterium. RNAcentral's name for it is "Verrucomicrobia bacterium partial 16S ribosomal RNA". It matches the Rfam family "Bacterial small subunit ribosomal RNA", at positions 355 to 776 of the family's 1533-position model. Lineage: Bacteria; Pseudomonadati; Verrucomicrobiota. The record is from RNAcentral.